This 225-nucleotide ribosomal RNA is filed under the name uncultured Glomeromycotina. Its description in RNAcentral is "partial small subunit ribosomal RNA". The stretch from base 46 to 225 matches the Rfam family "Eukaryotic small subunit ribosomal RNA", at positions 693 to 875 of the family's 1831-position model. Lineage: Eukaryota; Fungi; Glomeromycota. The record is from RNAcentral.
GGAUCAAUAUAUCGGUCGUGCCUUGGUACGUACUGGUAUCAUUGGUUUCUCCUUUCUGACGAACCAUGAUGUCAUUAAUUUGGUGUUAUGGGAAGUUAGGACUGUUACUUUGAAAAAUUAGAGUGUUUAAAGCAGGCUUUAGCUUGAAUACAUUAGCAUGGAAUAAUGAAAUAGGACGUUCGAACCUAUUUUGUUGGUUUCUAGGAUCAACGUAAUGAUUAAUAG